AAUUCCAGUUCCUUUUUAAAUCGAAAAAAAUCUUUUGCCUUUUACUAAAGAUUUCCGUGAAGGGGAGCAUUCAAAGGAGCCUAGACGUUUAAUUUUUACAACUGCCUGACGGGUCGGGCUU
Acyrthosiphon pisum (pea aphid) is the source of this 121-nucleotide non-coding RNA. The record is from Rfam. NCBI's taxonomy places the organism in Eukaryota, Metazoa, Arthropoda, Insecta, Hemiptera, Aphididae.